CCUACGGGAGGCAGCAGUGAGGAAUAUUGGUCAAUGGCCGUAAGGCUGAACCAGCCAAGUCGCGUGAGGGAAGACGGCCCUAUGGGUUGUAAACCUCUUUUAUCGGGGGAUAAAGGUGUCCACGUGUGGCUGAUUGCAGGUACCGCAUGAAUAAGGUCGGGCUAAUUCCGUGCCAGCGGCCGCGGUAAUACGGGAGGUCCGGGCGUUAUCCGGAUUUAUUGGGUUUAAAGGGAGCGUAGGGCGGUAUGUAAGCUGGCGGUGAAAUUUUGGGGCUCAACCUUGGGAGGGCAGUGGAAACUGGAGACCUUGAGUGCGGGGAAGGCAGGCGGAAGUCGUGGUGUAGCGGUGAAAUGCUUAGAUAUCACGAAGAACCCCGAUUGCGAAGGCAGCCUGCCGGAGCGUUACUGACGCUGAGGCUCGAAAGCGUGGGUAUCGAACAGGAUUAGAUACCCUAGUAGUC
Molecule: ribosomal RNA, 460 nt
Filed under: uncultured bacterium
Lineage: Bacteria
Description: partial 16S ribosomal RNA
Rfam family: Bacterial small subunit ribosomal RNA
Source: RNAcentral